GUGAACGCUGGCGGUAGGCCUAACACAUGCAAGUCGAACGGCAGCACAGUAAGAGCUUGCUCUUACGGGUGGCGAGUGGCGGACGGGUGAGGAAUACAUCGGAAUCUACUUUUUCGUGGGGGAUAACGUAGGGAAACUUACGCUAAUACCGCAUACGACCUACGGGUGAAAGCAGGGGAUCUUCGGACCUUGCGCGAUUGAAUGAGCCGAUGUCGGAUUAGCUAGUUGGCGGGGUAAAGGCCCACCAAGGCGACGAUCCGUAGCUGGUCUGAGAGGAUGAUCAGCCACACUGGAACUGAGACACGGUCCAGACUCCUACGGGAGGCAGCAGUGGGGAAUAUUGGACAAUGGGCGCAAGCCUGAUCCAGCCAUACCGCGUGGGCGAAGAAGGCCUUCGGGUUGUAAAGCCCUUUUGUUGGGAAAGAAAAGCAGCAGGUUAAUACCCCGCUGUUCUGACGGUACCCAAAGAAUAAGCACCGGCUAACUUCGU
This 490-nucleotide ribosomal RNA is filed under the name uncultured bacterium. RNAcentral describes it as "partial 16S ribosomal RNA". It matches the Rfam family "Bacterial small subunit ribosomal RNA", at positions 29 to 506 of the family's 1533-position model. The record is from RNAcentral.